This 497-nucleotide ribosomal RNA is filed under the name uncultured bacterium. Its description in RNAcentral is "partial 16S ribosomal RNA". It matches the Rfam family "Bacterial small subunit ribosomal RNA", at positions 28 to 507 of the family's 1533-position model. The record is from RNAcentral.
GAUGAACGCUGGCGGCGUGCCUAAUACAUGCAAGUCGAGCGAACAGACGAGGAGCUUGCUCCUCUGACGUUAGCGGCGGACGGGUGAGUAACACGUGGAUAACCUACCUAUAAGACUGGGAUAACUUCGGGAAACCGGAGCUAAUACCGGAUAAUAUAUUGAACCGCAUGGUUCAAUAGUGAAAGACGGUUUUGCUGUCACUUAUAGAUGGAUACGCGCCGCAUUAGCUAGUUGGUAAGGUAACGGCUUACCAAGGCAACGAUGCGUAGCCGACCUGAGAGAGUGAUCCGCAACAUUGGAACAGAGACACGGUCCAGACACCUACGGAAGGCAGCAGUAGGGAAUCUUCCGCAAAGGGCGGAAGCCUGACGGAGCAACGCCACGUGAAUGAUGAAGGUCUUCGGAUCGUAAAACUCUGUUAUUAGGAAAGAACAAAUGUGUAAGUAACUAUGCACGACUUGACGGUACCUAAGCAGAAAGCCACGGCUAACUACGUG